RNAcentral lists this ribosomal RNA (253 nucleotides) under uncultured bacterium. Its description in RNAcentral is "partial 16S ribosomal RNA". It matches the Rfam family "Bacterial small subunit ribosomal RNA", at positions 524 to 776 of the family's 1533-position model. The record is from RNAcentral.
UACGUAGGGUCCGAGCGUUAAUCGGAAUUACUGGGCGUAAAGCGUGCGCAGGCGGUUUUGUAAGCCAGAUGUGAAAGCCCCGGGCUCAACCUGGGAACUGCAUUUGGGACUGCAAGGCUGGAGUACGGCAGAGGGAGGUGGAAUUCCACGUGUAGCAGUGAAAUGCGUAGAGAUGUGGAGGAACACCGAUGGCGAAGGCAGCCUCCUGGGCUAGUACUGACGCUCGUGCACGAAAGCGUGGGGAGCAAACAGG